Molecule: ribosomal RNA, 1478 nt
Filed under: metagenome
Description: bacterial SSU rRNA
Rfam family: Bacterial small subunit ribosomal RNA
Source: RNAcentral
AGAGUUUGAUCCUGGCCCAGGAUGAACGCUAGCGGCAGGCCUAACACAUGCAAGUCGAACGGUAAGGUCCUUUCGGGGAUACACGAGUGGCGCACGGGUGAGUAACGCGUAUGCAACCUACCUUUAACCGGGGAAUAGCUCAGAGAAAUCUGAAUUAAUACCCCAUAACUUCCUUCUUUCGCAUGAUUAGAGGAUUAAAGCUCCGGCGGUUAUUGAUGGGCAUGCGUAACAUUAGUUUGUUGGUGAGGUAACGGCUCACCAAGACUACGAUGUUUAGGGGGUCUGAGAGGAUGGUCCCCCACACUGGUACUGAGACACGGACCAGACUCCUACGGGAGGCAGCAGUGAGGAAUAUUGGUCAAUGGACGCAAGUCUGAACCAGCCAUGCCGCGUGCAGGAUGACAGCCCUAUGGGUUGUAAACUGCUUUUAUACAGGAAGAACUCCCCCGAUUCUUCGGGGACUGACUGUACUGUAUGAAUAAGGAUCGGCUAACUCCGUGCCAGCAGCCGCGGUAAUACGGAGGAUCCUGGUGUUAUCCGGAUUUAUUGGGUUUAAAGGGUGCGUAGGCGGGAUAAUAAGUCAGUGGUGAAAUACUGCAGCUUAACUGUAGAACUGCCAUAGAUACUGUUAUUCUUGAGUAUAGUUGAGGUGGGCGGAAUGUGUCAUGUAGCGGUGAAAUGCUUAGAUAUGACACAGAACACCAAUUGCGUAGGCAGCUUGCUAAACUAUCACUGACGCUGAUGCACGAAAGCGUGGGGAGCGAACAGGAUUAGAUACCCUGGUAGUCCACGCCGUAAACGAUGAUUACUCGAUGUGUGCGAUACAUUGUACGCGUCUGAGCGAAAGCAUUAAGUAAUCCACCUGGGGAGUACGAUCGCAAGAUUGAAACUCAAAGGAAUUGACGGGGGCCCGCACAAGCGGAGGAACAUGUGGUUUAAUUCGAUGAUACGCGAGGAACCUUACCUGGGCUUAAAUGCAGAAUGACUUUCCGGGAAACCGGAAUUCCCUUCGGGGCGUUUUGCAAGGUGCUGCAUGGUUGUCGUCAGCUCGUGCCGUGAGGUGUCGGGUUAAGUCCCAUAACGAGCGCAACCCUUGUCAUUAGUUGCCAGCGGAUAAUGCCGGGGACUCUAAUGAGACUGCCAGUGUAAACUGUGAGGAAGGUGGGGAUGACGUUAAAUCAGCACGGCCCUUAUGUCCAGGGCUACACACGUGUUACAAUGGCCAUUACAGAGGGCAGCUACCUGGUAACAGGAUGCAAAUCUCAAAAAAUGGUCUCAGUUCGGAUCGAAGUCUGCAACUCGACUUCGUGAAGGUGGAUUCGCUAGUAAUCGCACAUCAGCAAUGGUGCGGUGAAUACGUUCCCGGGCCUUGUACACACCGCCCGUCAAGCCAUGGAAGCCGGGGGUGCCUGAAGUCCGUAGCCGUAAGGAGCGGCCUAGGGUAAAACUGGUAACUGGGGCUAAGUCGUAACAAGGUA